AUUAAGCAUAUCAAUAAGCGGAGGAAAAGAAACUAACAAGGAUUCCCCUAGUAACGGCGAGUGAAGCGGGAAGAGCUCAAAUUUGUAAUCUGGCCCUUUCAGGGUCCGAGUUGUAAUCUCGAGAAGUGUUUUCCGCGUCGGACUGCAUACAAGUCUAUUGGAAUAUAGCGUCAUAGUGGUGAGAGCCCCGUAACUGAUGCAGAUGCCCGAUGCUUUGUGAUACACUUUCGAAGAGUCGAGUUGUUUGGGAAUGCAGCUCAAAUUGGGUGGUAAAUUCCAUCUAAAGCUAAAUAUUGGCGAGAGACCGAUAGCGAACAAGUACCGUGAGGGAAAGAUGAAAAGCACUUUGGAAAGAGAGUUAACAGUACGUGAAAUUGUUGGAAGGGAAACGCUUGAAAUCAGACUUGCUAUUCGGAAUUCAGCCGCAAGGUGUACUUUUCGAUUUGCAGGCCAGCAUCAGUUUUUGGGGGUGGAAAAGGGUGGAGAGAAGGUAGCAACCCCGGUUGUGUUAUAGCUCUUCACUGGAUUCAUCUUUGGGGACUGAGGAUCGCAGUGCGCAUUUAUUUGCAAACCUCUCGAGGUUUUCGUACUUAGGAUGCUGGUGGAAUGGUUUUAAACGACCCGUCU
Molecule: ribosomal RNA, 627 nt
Filed under: Glaciozyma martinii
Lineage: Eukaryota; Fungi; Basidiomycota; Microbotryomycetes; Kriegeriales; Camptobasidiaceae
Description: LSU rRNA
Rfam family: Eukaryotic large subunit ribosomal RNA
Source: RNAcentral